CCCCUAGAUGUUCUGGGCCGCACGCGCGCUACACUGAACAGUUCAACAAGUCUUAACCUUGGCCGAUAGGUCUGGGUAAUCUUUGAACGCUGUUCGUGAUUGGGAUAGACCUUUGCAAUUAUGGGUCUUCAACGAGGAAUUCCUAGUAAACGCAAGUCAUCAGCUUGCAUUGAUUACGUCCCUGCCCUUUGUACACACCGCCCGUCGCACCUACCGAUUGAAUGGUCCGGUGAAAUCUCGGGACGGCGGCUUGGUCGCUUGCGUCCGACUGCUGAAACUUGAUUAAACCAUAUCAUUUAGAGGGAGGUGAANUCGUAACA
RNAcentral lists this ribosomal RNA (320 nucleotides) under uncultured eukaryote. Its description in RNAcentral is "partial 18S ribosomal RNA". It matches the Rfam family "Eukaryotic small subunit ribosomal RNA", at positions 1470 to 1796 of the family's 1831-position model. The record is from RNAcentral.